Molecule: non-coding RNA, 561 nt
Filed under: Pan troglodytes (chimpanzee)
Lineage: Eukaryota; Metazoa; Chordata; Mammalia; Primates; Hominidae
Also listed under: 1 other name
Source: RNAcentral
CUUACGAUGAUUUCUUAGGAGGGGAUGCUUUUGAAUUUUUAAACUUAGAUAUGUUGUUUUGGGAGGUUUUAGGAUAAAAUACUGAAGCACAAUAGUUGAGUGAAAAAUUAAAUGAAUAGAAACUAUUGGAUUUUAGAUAGCUUUGGUGAGAGCCUUUGGGAGUUCUCCCUUGCUAAAGAUGUGUCCUGUAGAUUGGUCAGUUGGGAUGAAGCAAUUGAGGAAAAAGUGAGCUUUUAAUGUACCUCCUCUAAUUUGUAAGAGGCACACAUGAAUUUAUCUCACCAGAUGAUUUAUAAGCAAUUUUCUCAUAGGUUCCCAAAGGUGGUGUGACAGAGAUCUCAGCUGCUGACAAAGCUGAGGAGUUUCGCAGGCAACAGGCAGACUUUGUGGACCUGAGCUUCCCAACAAUUUCCAGUACGGGACCCAACGGCGCCAUCAUUCACUACGCGUAAGGCAUGCGGAGGAGCAUGCUGCCUGGCCUUGCUGCUUCUGCACAGGAGCCUGAGCAGGGGAGAGACAUUAUUUUACCAGAGGCCUCUGUGCCCACCUUCAUCUGUCUGU